This 31-nucleotide non-coding RNA is filed under the name Rattus norvegicus (Norway rat). The record is from RNAcentral. Lineage: Eukaryota; Metazoa; Chordata; Mammalia; Rodentia; Muridae.
AUGAAGAAACACUUUGUAGCCUGGUUCAUCC